RNAcentral lists this ribosomal RNA (406 nucleotides) under uncultured bacterium. RNAcentral's name for it is "partial 16S ribosomal RNA". It matches the Rfam family "Bacterial small subunit ribosomal RNA", at positions 30 to 526 of the family's 1533-position model. The record is from RNAcentral.
AUUGAACGCUGGCGGCAGGCCUAACACAUGCAAGUCGAACGAGUGGCGGACGGGUGAGUAAUGUCUGGGAAACUGCCUGAUGGAGGGGGCUAACUACUGGAAACGGUAGCUAAUACCGCAUACCAUCGGCUUUGCCCAGAUGGGAUUAGCGAGUAGGUGGGGUAACGGCUCACCUAGGCGACGAUCCCUAGCUGGUCUGAGAUGAUGACCAGCAGCGCUGGGACUGAGCCCCGGUCCAGACUCCUGCGGGACGCAGCAGUGGGGAAUAUUGCACAAUGGGCGCAAGCCUGAUGCAGCCAGGCCGCGUGUAUUAAGAAGGCCUUCGGGUUGUAAAGUACUUUCAGCGGGGAAGCGUUACCCGCAGAAGAAGCACCGGCUAACUCCGUGCCAGCAGCCGCUGUUAUUC